AUUGAACGCUGGCGGAAUGCUUUACACAUGCAAGUCGAACGGCAGCACGGGGGCAACCCUGGUGGCGAGUGGCGAACGGGUGAGUAAUACAUCGGAACGUGCCCGGUCGUGGGGGAUAACGUAGCGAAAGUUACGCUAAUACCGCAUACGAUCUGAGGAUGAAAGCGGGGGACCUUCGGGCCUCGCGCGAUCGGAGCGGCCGAUGUCAGAUUAGGUAGUUGGUGGGGUAAAGGCCUACCAAGCCGACGAUCUGUAGCUGGUCUGAGAGGACGGCCAGCCACACUGGGACUGAGACACGGCCCAGACUCCUACGGGAGGCAGCAGUGGGGAAUUUUGGACAAUGGGCGCAAGCCUGAUCCAGCCAUUCCGCGUGCAGGACGAAGGCCUUCGGGUUGUAAACUGCUUUUGUAUGGAACGAAAAGGCUCUGGCUAAUACCUGGGGCUCAUGACGGUACCGUAAGAAUAAGCACCGGCUAACUACGUG
RNAcentral lists this ribosomal RNA (484 nucleotides) under uncultured bacterium. Its description in RNAcentral is "partial 16S ribosomal RNA". It matches the Rfam family "Bacterial small subunit ribosomal RNA", at positions 30 to 507 of the family's 1533-position model. The record is from RNAcentral.